RNAcentral lists this long non-coding RNA (906 nucleotides) under Olea europaea (common olive). RNAcentral describes it as "long non-coding RNA (OEUR_LNC005403)". The record is from RNAcentral. Lineage: Eukaryota; Viridiplantae; Streptophyta; Magnoliopsida; Lamiales; Oleaceae.
CUGACUAUAAUUUUCCAAAGCCCUUCUGGAUUGCAUGCUCCUGCACCAAUUUUUGGCUCUUGAAUUUGUCUAUCUUUUGUGGAUUCCUAAAAACUCCCCUUCCCUGAUCUUCAAAUCUCAACAGAUGCUCUAAAAGAAUAGUUUUUGGUGUUUGAUUAUAGUGGAUUUGAUGUUUUUGUGUGAAUGCACCAACAAGAUGUGGAAUUGAAUGAAUAGAUCAAAGUGUAGAAAGUUUUCACUCAAGUGAAGCAGUGGCAAAAAGUUAGCUGAGGACUCUCUGCUUUUAACGCUCGAGCAAUCACUUAGCGAGCAGCUAGCGAAACUUUGAUGAUACUUCUUGCCUUACUUCACAACUCAAACCUUAACAUACUUUGAUAAAAUUGUAACUUAGUCCACAACUUUUACACAUAUACAAAUUGACCCCAAACUCUUGAACAAUUACUAAUUGACCCUUUUGAUAAUAGAAUAGCCAACACAAAAUCUAACAUAGUUGAAUAUUCAAAUUUAAUUAAGAGUUAGUAUUAAAUAUGGUAUUGUGGAUAACAUAAUGGUUUAUGCUAGUCUUAACGUAAAACCAAAAACCACAUGCAAAACCUAGUUCUGACCCGAAGGAAACUCCUAAUCUUUGUCUCUCUCAUUUUUUUCCCCACCCAAAUAAAGUACAGCAAUCUUGAAUAACACAUUAAAUCAUCAUAUCAUCUAAAAAUUAAAAUUUUAUUUUGUUAAAAAGGAGGAGAAUUUAUUUAAAACUUAAAUACCAAUUAAACACGAUAUAAGGGCAUGAUUACUAUGGAUAGUAAAGACACUACAAUAAACAAAAUUGUAACUUCCUUUUAUUUUGUAAUGCCUCUAGGAAUGCAUUGACUGAAUUAUAUAGGGUGCCCAACUCCCACCCUCUGCUCACAC